RNAcentral lists this small RNA (3493 nucleotides) under Pongo abelii (Sumatran orangutan). Its description in RNAcentral is "processed transcript". The record is from RNAcentral. Lineage: Eukaryota; Metazoa; Chordata; Mammalia; Primates; Hominidae.
GAGAAGCUGAGCACCCAUGCUGGAACUCACCAUAUAGAUGCCUCACUGCUUUUCAUUUCGAAGUUUCUCCUCCAUGUCUUUUUCCUCUUGCCAGUGUUUAGGUAAAAUUAUUUCUGUUUGAUACAUUUUUCUUCACUCUUGUCCUUAAUGUGUCAAGUCUUAUGUGGCUUCAUAGCCCUGACAGACAGUAGUAUUGCUAUUUUGGAGUCAAGGUCUCGUUCUGUCGGCCAAGCUGGAGUGCAAUGGCACCAUCAGGGCUCACUGCAGCCUUGACCUCCGAGGCUCAAGGAAUCCUCCCACCUCAGCCUCAGCCUCCCGGAUAGUUGAUACUACAGAUGAUCCAGCUCUGUCGGAGGCACGUAGGCACAGCCAAAUCUCAUGCUGUACAUUGAUCACCUGUCCAACCUUUGCCUAGAGUGGGAGCCCCCAGUUCCUUCGAGAUCCAACAUUACCUGUCUGUAAAGAAGAAGAGGAGGAGGGAGACAGCGGGGAGGAUCCGGUGGCAGUUUAACACCAGAGCAGCUAUCAGAAGGGCUGAAUAAAGGGAACAUGCAGCUCUGCAGCAAUAUUCUGAUAAUCUAUUGCAGUGCGGCUCACAUCACUGUCCACCACCACCUGGAGCGGCUCAUCAGAACUGAAGGGGAGUUUUCACUUACAUUAUUGAGCGUGAUUCUGUUCUACUUGAUAUUUCCUUCAUCACCUCAUGUCAUUUCUCAUGGAUUUGGAUAUGAUGGAAAGGAAGAAUGCAGAGGAGGAGAAAAGUGACAGAUCCUCCAUUUUUGUCAGGAUGCAGGCAUUUUGAAUGUAAUCAUCUUUGCUGAAUGUCAUUUUUUGAUAACAUUUUGUUUAUGUUACUUAAACAUCAUUGGAUAAAUUUGAACUCCAUGGGAUUUUAUCUGUGGAUUCAGCUUCUGUUGGACAACUAGCCUCAUCUCCAGUAUCCUGCUGGUUCAGUCUAAUUGGUCAUUCCUAAUGCAUUAGAUUAUCAAAAAGUAUAAAUUCGCUGUGAGUGAGUGGUGUUGGCAGUGUUUGUAUACCGUGAUGCAUGGAGUGUUUGACGAAGAAACAAAAAACACCAAAAAUUGCGAGCCUUUACCCUCCUCUAUUUCUUUAAUCUGUUGUUUGAAGAACCGCAUUUUGAGGGUGUAACCAGUAGUUACCUCUGGGCCAGGUUGGAAAUGAAAUCAAUUUUUUAAACCACUAAUACUUGCCAAGAAAUCGCCUUAUGAGAACAUGGUGUGUGUCUCUGACAAUGCGUGGCACAUCUAAAUUGAUCAUUCAUAAUUUUAUCUACCCGGUCAUGUACUGGAGAGUGGCAAAAGCCUGAGGCACCUGCAUAUCUCUAGUCCCUGUGUUCCGCACAUCCCCACGGCGGGGAUGCCACCAAGCCUCAGACUCUUACCAUCCUGGUACAUGCAGAUCUCCAUGAAGAAGCUGGGACUCAUUCACAUUUCAAGAUCCAAAUGCUGUGCAAACAGUGUAAGCUUAGAUUUUCUGUAAAUGAAGGGUCAUUUCUCUCUCUUUUUUUUUUUUUUUAAAGAAAAUGUGUCUGCAACAUGAAUUCCAAAGCAUUUUCAGCAUCAAACAUGAAAACAUUGAUGAAUGAGGAAAAAUCACAAAAGCUGUGUCUCUGUAUAUAGCUCUACACAACAUGUAUGUGGAUACAGUUAUUAUUUAAAGCACAUGCCAGGGAAAAAGACCAAAUUUUGAGGUCUUUUACAUACAGUGAUAUGGUACUAAGGAGAAUUAAACUCCUACUGCUUCCUCUGAAUAUUAAGAAACAAUUAAAAUUGUUAUAACUUCAUAAAACUCAUGACUGAGUCUGGCAAACAUGUGCAACUCUUGUAUUGCUCCAUUUUCUUGUCAAUGGAAGAAACCCUUCCACGUGUAUGCAAGUGGGAGAUGAAAACCUGCAUUUUUAAAGGACAAACAGUGAAUUUAAGCAUGAGUGGCCUUAAUAAAUAUAGUUGUCUUUCUUUGCUGCUGUGGAAAGGAUUCUAAACAGAUGUCCCUGAAGUCUUGCAUUGAAUUUAGGCAUUAUUAUUACCUUUUUAAAUGUUGGUGCAAUUAACUCUGGACCUCUCUUGUGAGCCAUAGAGAUAUUUAAAAGACAAACACCUUAUUUGUCGGGGAAGAUGAAGCCGUCCCUGAGUUGCACCAUUCUUUCUUGGUGCAUUCACGGUUAAGAUACUCAAGCAGGUUUCUUGCUUCUGGCUUUGUUCUUGUCAUCAGUAAGUAUAACAAACUAUGUAAUGCUUACGUGUUGCAUAAACAAUCCAAAUGCAUUCAUGUUUUAAAAGUUUGUCCUUUAACUAUCAGAGGGAUCUAGGUCUUGGUUAGAGAAGUAAGCAGAGUUCUUUGCAAGCUUAUUUAGCACAUUUUGACACAAUGUUGCACUGAAAACCCAGGCCACAAAUGUGUCCCAGUGAACAGUUUGGAUGUCCUCAAAGAAGUGGUUCUCACUGCCUCCUACAACCAGGUCUUGACCUGAACUCUGCAACUGAAUACUUGAAGUAGGAAGUAGGAAAUCCAGUAGGGAAAAUAGGGUCCUUGAAACAGAAAAAAACAACCAACCCAUGUAUAGCUAGCUAUUUCUAUGUAUGUGCCAAUUUUGUCACAGCUCUUGUUUGGAGGGAUCAUUUUCUGCCCAACUUUCGUUGGUUAAAAGUAUUACUGAUCUUACCUUUAUGAGGGCAUAUCAUUUAGUCCCUUAAAAAUUAAAUUCUCUCUAACAUAACAACCUUUCCCAUUUCAUGUAAUAUUCUCUGAUGUUUGGAGGUUACCAAAAAUAUCCCUUUUUCACAUAUUAAGAAUAGUCUCUGGGUUUACAACAAACACUGUGAUGUUGGGAAGCUAUUUCCUUUGCGCAAACUUUAGCAGGUUUCCUUCUAAUCAUAACGUAGUUGAAAAAAGAAGUUUGGGCUAACAUUUAGGAGAAGUUGGUCUUACUUUGUGCAAAAGCAGGCUUGUACUUUAUACCCCAUUUGAUUUCGAUGUACAGUCUCAAUUUUGUAUGUAAUGAUUUUUGUGUAUCCAGUAUGCACGUUAACAGCGUGUCAACUUUCAUUUGAAAGUGGGUUUCAAUUUACUUUUUAAACAGUGUUUAUGACGAGACCUCAAAUGUGUUGACAUAAGCUCUAUCUGCAAUGUUUUUGUGUAGAGUGGCGAUUGAAUGCUGCCGAGGGUCAGUGUAUCUAAUUCCCCAAGACCCUUGUUUGAUAGUGCUUCUUGUAAUAUUUCUUCAAGUGAGUGGCAUGUGGGUUGUGAUAUUGACCAUGUGAUUAUGGACAUCGAUAUGAAAAAUAAAUAAAUAAAACUAAGGAACCCUGGAAACUACCAGUGGGCAUGUAUUAGCCAGUCAUUGUAACCUCGUGUCUAGUAGAACAAUGUACAAGGUAUGUACAGUUCAUAAAUUUGUUAUCAUGUGUAUGAGAAGUACUUUGUGCUGAUCGCCUUAUUUAUAUUCAUCAAAUAAACCUCGUUUCUUUCUGAA